AUGAAAGGAAUUUGGAUUUUUUUUGCCUUCCUCCCCAAAGAAGAAAAGAGGGGAAAAUUAAUAAUAAUAAUAAUCAUCAUCAUCAUCAUCAUCCUUGGAUCUGUGGAAAGCAAAUACACUUAUCAGCAAGCACACAUACUCCACAAUCCAAAAUAAUAUGAGUUUUAAUAUUUCACUUUAAGAUAGUUUGGGGGUCUCAGGUUGGUGCAUAGCUUGCAUUUGGUACAAAGACUCUGAAAAAAUUUUUGAGAUGCUAGUAGUUACUGCUGAGAGGCAAGCACCUCUGACCCUAUUCUAGGGCCACCUUUCUCACUGCUGGGGGCUGACCAUAAGUCAGGAAUUCCCAAACUAUUCCACUGUCUUUGUGUGAGCUGCACCCAGAGGAGAACAGACAUGGCUAGACCUUUUACAGUGGAGACAAUAACAUUUCUUCACUAGGAAAUCUGGUGAGAAAGGUUCCUAUAAAAUAGAAUAGGGGCCUGAGCCAGUUUAAACACUAAGAGUGGACUGAUUCUGGAUGUUGGGGAAGGCUGGGGGAGUGGAAGGCCAUGCUUAGCUACACUAACAUCCUAGUUCCCACAUAGUACAUUAAUAGCAGGAAAUACAGAGAUGGCUAUACUGGGAUGACUAGAGUCCUCCCCAAAAAUGCAUAUUCUUCCAAAACCUCAGAAUGUGACUCUAUUUGGAUGUAGGGGUGGUGUAGAGGAAAUUAGUUAAGAUGAGGUCAUGCUGGAUUAGGGCAGGUCCUAGCUCCAAUGGUGUCCUCAUAGGACAGAUACAGAUGCACACACACAUGCACUAGGAAGAAGGCCAUAGGAACAUGGAACAGAGAUUUGAGUAAUGUCGCUGCAAACCAGGGAAGGCUAAGGAUUGCUGGCAAGCACCAGAAACCAGAAAUAGAAGAGGAAGGACUCUUCCCUGGCACCUGCAGAGAAAGUGUGGUCCUGUUGACACCUUGAUUUUGGACUUCUAGCCUACAGAAUAAAUUUCUAUUGUUUUAAGCCAUUCCAUUUGUCAUGCUUUGCUAUGACAGCUCGAGGAAACUAGUACAAGGGCUCUCACAGGCAGAUAUUCUACCAGUAAAUGACAAAUGGAACUAGGAAACAGAAUAACUACAAAAAAACCUGACUCAAAGACAAUAAAAGAACAGCUUCUCAGGACCUUUUUCCAUGGUGUAAACAACCUCAGGUAGCCCACAUACAUGGUUGGGAGUAGGGGGUAAAGCCAGAGGAAAUUUUUUAAGAUCAAGUCUCAGGGCAAUUUCUAUGUGCAGAGAAAGUAACGCUUAACCCCCCACCAGCCAAGUACUUCAAAGGGAACCGUUGACAGGGGCAGAAAAGAAAGCAUCUUUUGUUUACAAGGGGCAGCGUUUUUUAGCUGCUUCCUACUGGAAGCUCUUCCUUCCCACCUCACAGCACAGGGGAAAGAUAAAUCAUCCUCCUAGGCAGGCUGCAAGGAGACACCA
RNAcentral lists this long non-coding RNA (1465 nucleotides) under Canis lupus familiaris (dog). RNAcentral describes it as "lncRNA (ENSCAFG00030009634.1)". Lineage: Eukaryota; Metazoa; Chordata; Mammalia; Carnivora; Canidae. The record is from RNAcentral.